UACGGAGGAUGCAAGCGUUAUCCGGAAUUAUUGGGCGUAAAGCGUCCGUAGGUGGCAUUGCAAGUCUGCCGUCAAAGCAUGGAGCUUAACUCCGGAGAGGCAGUGGAAACUGAAAAGCUAGAGUGCGGUAGGGGUAGCGGGAAUUCCCAGUGUAGCGGUGAAAUGCGUAGAGAUUGGGAAGAACACCGGUGGCGAAAGCGCGCUACUGGGCCGAAACUGACACUGAGGGACGAAAGCUAGGGGAGCGAAAGGG
This 253-nucleotide ribosomal RNA is filed under the name uncultured bacterium. Its description in RNAcentral is "partial 16S ribosomal RNA". It matches the Rfam family "Bacterial small subunit ribosomal RNA", at positions 524 to 776 of the family's 1533-position model. The record is from RNAcentral.